RNAcentral lists this ribosomal RNA (228 nucleotides) under uncultured bacterium. RNAcentral describes it as "partial 16S ribosomal RNA". It matches the Rfam family "Bacterial small subunit ribosomal RNA", at positions 109 to 334 of the family's 1533-position model. The record is from RNAcentral.
AGUAACGCGUGGGUAACCUGCCCUGUACAGGGGGACAACAGCUGGAAACGGCUGCUAAUACCGCAUAAGCCCUUAGCACUGCAUGGUGUAUAGGGAAAAGGAAGCAAUCCGGUACAGGAUGGACCCGCGUCUGAUUAGCCAGUUGGCAGGGUAACGGCCUACCAAAGCGACGAUCAGUAGCCGAUCUGAGAGGAUGUACGGCCACAUUGGGACUGAGACACGGCCCAG